RNAcentral lists this non-coding RNA (25 nucleotides) under Rattus norvegicus (Norway rat). Lineage: Eukaryota; Metazoa; Chordata; Mammalia; Rodentia; Muridae. The record is from RNAcentral.
UGGACACUACAGAAUUGUGGAGGAC